RNAcentral lists this ribosomal RNA (669 nucleotides) under uncultured Escherichia sp. Its description in RNAcentral is "bacterial SSU rRNA". It matches the Rfam family "Bacterial small subunit ribosomal RNA", at positions 61 to 719 of the family's 1533-position model. Lineage: Bacteria; Pseudomonadati; Pseudomonadota; Gammaproteobacteria; Enterobacterales; Enterobacteriaceae. The record is from RNAcentral.
GUCGAACGGUAACAGGAAACAGCUUGCUGAUUUGCUGACGAGUGGCGGACGGGUGAGUAAUGUCUGGGAAACUGCCUGAUGGAGGGGGAUAACUACUGGAAACGGUAGCUAAUACCGCAUAACGUCGCAAGACCAAAGAGGGGGACCUCCGGGCCUCUUGCCAUCGGAUGUGCCCAGAUGGGAUUAGCUAGUAGGUGGGGUAAAGGCUCACCUAGGCGACGAUCCCUAGCUGGUCUGAGAGGAUGACCAGCCACACUGGAACUGAGACACGGUCCAGACUCCUACGGGAGGCAGCAGUGGGGAAUAUUGCACAAUGGGCGCAAGCCUGAUGCAGCCAUGCCGCGUGUAUGAAGAAGGCCUUCGGGUUGUAAAGUACUUUCAGCGGGGAGGAAGGGAGUAAAGUUAAUACCUUUGCUCAUUGACGUUACCCGCAGAAGAAGCACCGGCUAACUCCGUGCCAGCAGCCGCGGUAAUACGGAGGGUGCAAGCGUUAAUCGGAAUUACUGGGCGUAAAGCGCACGCAGGCGGUUUGUUAAGUCAGAUGUGAAAUCCCCGGGCUCAACCUGGGAACUGCAUCUGAUACUGGCAAGCUUGAGUCUCGUAGAGGGGGGUAGAAUUCCAGGUGUAGCGGUGAAAUGCGUAGAGAUCUGGAGGAAUACCGGUGGCGAA